AAACUUGGGGCGUGCUAUAAUGCAGUCGAACGCUUCUUUUUCCACCGGAGCUUGCUCCACCGGAAAAAGAGGAGUGGCGAACGGGUGAGUAACACGUGGGUAACCUGCCCAUCAGAAGGGGAUAACACUUGGAAACAGGUGCUAAUACCGUAUAACAAUCAAAACCGCAUGGUUUUGAUUUGAAAGGCGCUUUCGGGUGUCGCUGAUGGAUGGACCCGCGGUGCAUUAGCUAGUUGGUGAGGUAACGGCUCACCAAGGCCACGAUGCAUAGCCGACCUGAGAGGGUGAUCGGCCACAUUGGGACUGAGACACGGCCCAAACUCCUACGGGAGGCAGCAGUAGGGAAUCUUCGGCAAUGGACGAAAGUCUGACCGAGCAACGCCGCGUGAGUGAAGAAGGUUUUCGGAUCGUAAAACUCUGUUGUUAGAGAAGAACAAGGAUGAGAGUAACUGUUCAUCCCUUGACGGUAUCUAACCAGAAAGCCACGGCUAACUACGUGCCAGCAGCCGCGGUAAUACGUAGGUGGCAAGCGUUGUCCGGAUUUAUUGGGCGUAAAGCGAGCGCAGGCGGUUUCUUAAGUCUGAUGUGAAAGCCCCCGGCUCAACCGGGGAGGGUCAUUGGAAACUGGGAGACUUGAGUGCAGAAGAGGAGAGUGGAAUUCCAUGUGUAGCGGUGAAAUGCGUAGAUAUAUGGAGGAACACCAGUGGCGAAGGCGGCUCUCUGGUCUGUAACUGACGCUGAGGCUCGAAAGCGUGGGGAGCAAACAGGAUUAGAUACCCUGGUAGUCCACGCCGUAAACGAUGAGUGCUAAGUGUUGGAGGGUUUCCGCCCUUCAGUGCUGCAGCUAACGCAUUAAGCACUCCGCCUGGGGAGUACGACCGCAAGGUUGAAACUCAAAGGAAUUGACGGGGGCCCGCACAAGCGGUGGAGCAUGUGGUUUAAUUCGAAGCAACGCGAAGAACCUUACCAGGUCUUGACAUCCUUUGACCACUCUAGAGAUAGAGCUUCCCCUUCGGGGGCAAAGUGACAGGUGGUGCAUGGUUGUCGUCA
This 1050-nucleotide ribosomal RNA is filed under the name Enterococcus faecium. Its description in RNAcentral is "bacterial SSU rRNA". It matches the Rfam family "Bacterial small subunit ribosomal RNA", at positions 33 to 1057 of the family's 1533-position model. The record is from RNAcentral. Lineage: Bacteria; Bacillati; Bacillota; Bacilli; Lactobacillales; Enterococcaceae.